CAGUAGCCACGGUAAUACGAAGGGGGCUAGCGUUGUUCGGAAUUACUGGGCGUAAAGCGCACGUAGGCGGAUAUUUAAGUCAGGGGUGAAAUCCCAGAGCUCAACUCUGGAACUGCCUUUGAUACUGGGUAUCUUGAGUAUGGAAGAGGUGAGUGGAAUUCCGAGUGUAGAGGUGAAAUUCGUAGAUAUUCGGAGGAACACCAGUGGCGAAGGCGGCUCACUGGUCCAUUACUGACGCUGAGGUGCGAAAGCGUGGGGAGCAAACAGGAUUAGAUACCCGGGUAGUCCCUGUCUCUUAUAC
This 301-nucleotide ribosomal RNA is filed under the name uncultured bacterium. Its description in RNAcentral is "partial 16S ribosomal RNA". It matches the Rfam family "Bacterial small subunit ribosomal RNA", at positions 509 to 807 of the family's 1533-position model. The record is from RNAcentral.